Molecule: ribosomal RNA, 907 nt
Filed under: uncultured bacterium
Lineage: Bacteria
Description: bacterial SSU rRNA
Rfam family: Bacterial small subunit ribosomal RNA
Source: RNAcentral
UCAGAACGAACGUUGGCGGCGUGGAUUAGGCAUGCAAGUCGAACGAGAAGCCCGGCUUCGGCUGGGUGGAAAGUGGCAAAAGGGUGAGUAAUGCGUAGACAACCUGCCCCUGGGACCGGAAUAGCUGCGGGAAACUGCAGGUAAUGCCGGAUGAUGUCUUUGAGCUGCAUGGCCCAAAGACCAAAUGGGGUUGCCGCCCAGGGAGGGGUUUACGUCCUAUUAGCUUGUUGGUGGGGUAACGGCCCACCAAGGCGAUGAUGGGUAGCGGGCGUGAGAGCGUGAUCCGCCACACUGGGACUGAGACACUGCCCAGACUCCUACGGGAGGCUGCAGUCGAGAAUCAUCGGCAAUGGGCGAAAGCCUGACCGUGCAACGCCGCGUGGACGAUGAAGGCCUUCGGGUUGUAAAGUCCUGUCGGGGGGGAUGAAUGGCCGAGGAGUUCGAUCUUCGGCCACACUGACAAAAGCCCCAAAGGAAGCUCCGGCUAAAUUCGUGCCAGCAGCCGCGGUGAUACGAAUGGAGCGAACGUUGUUCGGAAUUACUGGGCUUAAAGAGCACGUAGGCGGUUUGGCUAGUCAGGCGUGAAAUCCCUCGGGUCAACCGAGGAACUGCGUUUGAUACUGUCAGACUAGAGUGAAGUAGAGGGGCGCGGAACUCCGGGGUGGAGCGGUGAAAUGCGUAGAUAUCCGGAGGAACGCCAGUGGUGAAAACGGCGCCCUGGGCUUCUACUGACGCUGAGGUGCGAAAGCUAGGGUAGCGAACGGGAUUAGAUACCCCGGUAGUCCUAGCCGUAAACGAUGGGUACUAGGUAGUGGGAAUUCCGAUGUUUCCUCUGCCGAAGCAAAAGUGUUAAGUACCCCGCCUGGGGAGUAUGGUCGCAAGGCUAAAACUCAAAGGAAUUGACGGG